Molecule: small nucleolar RNA, 82 nt
Filed under: Chlamydomonas reinhardtii
Lineage: Eukaryota; Viridiplantae; Chlorophyta; Chlorophyceae; Chlamydomonadales; Chlamydomonadaceae
Description: CrCD69 snoRNA
Source: RNAcentral
CGGCAGUGAUGAACGGAAAUAAACAAGCUCAACAGAUCUGAGCUUAAUGCUGUGCUGACAACUUCCCCGCUGUACUGAGCCG